This 482-nucleotide ribosomal RNA is filed under the name uncultured bacterium. RNAcentral's name for it is "partial 16S ribosomal RNA". It matches the Rfam family "Bacterial small subunit ribosomal RNA", at positions 29 to 507 of the family's 1533-position model. The record is from RNAcentral.
AUUGAACGCUGGCGGCAUGCUUUACACAUGCAAGUCGAACGGUAACAGGCCGCAAGGUGCUGACGAGUGGCGAACGGGUGAGUAAUGCAUCGGAACGUGCCCAGUCGUGGGGGAUAACUACUCGAAAGAGUAGCUAAUACCGCAUACGAUCUAUGGAGGAAAGCGGGGGACGGAAAGGCCUCGCGCGAUUGGAGGGGCGGAUGUCAGAUUAGGUAGUUGGUGGGGUAAAGGCUCACAAAGCCAACGAUCUGUAGCUGGUCUGAGAGGACAACCAGCCACACUGGGACUGAGACACGGCCCAGACUCCUACGGGAGGCAGCAGUGGGGAAUUUUGGACAAUGGGCGCAAGCCUGACCCAGCAAUGCCGCGUGCAGGAAGAAGGCCUUCGGGUUGUAAACUGCUUUUGUACGGAACGAAACGGCUCUGGUUAAUACCCGGGGCUAAUGACGGUACCGUAAGAAUAAGCACCGGCUAACUACGUG